ACCAGACUCCUACGGGAGGCAGCAGUGGGGCCUCUUGGGCAAUGUCUGCCCCUCUUACCCCGCCCUGCCGCGUGCCUGAAGAAGGUCUUCGGCUUGUAAAGUUCUUUAAUUGGGGACGAAAAAAAUGACGGUCCCCAAGGAAUACGCCCCGGCUAACUACGUGCCAGCAGCCGCGGUAAUACGUAGGGGGCAAGCGUUGUUCGGAAUGACUGGGCGGAAAGGGUGCGGAGGCGGUGUAGCAAGUUAGAAGUGAAAGACCUAGAGCUGAACUCAGGUGCUGCUGCUAAAACUGCUAUACUUGAGGGCAGUAGAGGAAAGGGGAAUUCCUAGGGGAGCGGUGGAAGGCGGAGAUAUUAGGAGGAACAUCAGUGGCGAAGGCGACUUUCGGGACGGUAACUGACGCUGAGGCACGAAAGGGUGGGGAGCAAACAGGAUUAGAUACCCGAGUA
RNAcentral lists this ribosomal RNA (449 nucleotides) under uncultured bacterium. RNAcentral's name for it is "bacterial SSU rRNA". It matches the Rfam family "Bacterial small subunit ribosomal RNA", at positions 330 to 792 of the family's 1533-position model. The record is from RNAcentral.